Molecule: long non-coding RNA, 277 nt
Filed under: Ananas comosus (pineapple)
Lineage: Eukaryota; Viridiplantae; Streptophyta; Magnoliopsida; Poales; Bromeliaceae
Description: long non-coding RNA (ACOM_LNC042792)
Source: RNAcentral
GUCGGUUCGGGCACGCCGACAGACCGCCGAACGGACAGAGCCUCCCCUGUCCGUCCAAGGCUCAACAAAAUAAGUACAUUGAAUUUCACAUAGGAAAAACAAUACAAUACAGUUUUGCGUGAGGGCAUAUCAUAAGAGCGACAAUGUAAACCUAACUAUUACAAUAUUGAACAUUCACAUUUUUACAUCCACUUCUUCACUUACAAACAUAAAUCUCUUUCCAAAAUACAAUUACAUUUGCUUCCCAAAUUACAUUUACAUUCUUGCUUAUACAUAG